RNAcentral lists this transfer RNA (92 nucleotides) under Oscillospiraceae bacterium. Its description in RNAcentral is "tRNA-Ser". It matches the Rfam family "tRNA". From Rfam's summary of the family: Transfer RNA (tRNA) molecules are approximately 80 nucleotides in length. Lineage: Bacteria; Bacillati; Bacillota; Clostridia; Eubacteriales; Oscillospiraceae. The record is from RNAcentral. RNAcentral also lists the same sequence under 1 other name.
GGAGAUGUCGCCUAGUCCGGUCGAGGGCGCACGAUUGGAAAUCGUGUAACUCGGAAACGAGUUCGAGGGUUCGAAUCCCUCCAUCUCCGCCA